AAGACUAUACUUUCAGGAAUCAUUUCUAUAGUUCGUUACUAGAGAAGUUUCUCUGAACGUGUAGAGCACCGCU
RNAcentral lists this small nucleolar RNA (73 nucleotides) under Pan paniscus (pygmy chimpanzee). Its description in RNAcentral is "Small nucleolar RNA U3". It matches the Rfam family "Small nucleolar RNA U3", at positions 1 to 74 of the family's 219-position model. From Rfam's summary of the family: Small nucleolar RNAs (snoRNAs) are involved in the processing and modification of rRNA in the nucleolus. There are two main classes of snoRNAs: the box C/D class, and the box H/ACA class. Lineage: Eukaryota; Metazoa; Chordata; Mammalia; Primates; Hominidae. RNAcentral also lists the same sequence under 1 other name. The record is from Rfam by way of RNAcentral.